GUCUUUGAGAAGAAAGUAUUAGAGCAUGCAGCAAGUUUUAAAACUGCUCAACAAAGAUGGGUUUAUUUUCUGUGUGUUUUUUUUACAACAGAGACCUGUGACAGUGGCCAAAAGAGGCAGCAUGAUUCAGCUCCAGCACAUGGAUAUGACUAAGGUAGUGUUAAAAUAUUCCCCAAGAAGAUGAGAGGAAAAGGAUGAUUUCUCCCACAGAAUAGAGAGGAUCUCUCAUAUCACUGAAAAACAUUUAAUUAUUUUCUCCAAGUUUUUUUUAUGAGAACUGGGGUUCAUUUACCAGAUUUCAAUGCGUAAAAUUUAGCUCACCUACCUGAAACCUACAUUGGUAUUGAUAUCACAUGGUAUAAAAAAAUACAUUAAACCUCAAUUUCCAGCAGUA
This is a long non-coding RNA of Pseudopipra pipra, 394 nucleotides long. RefSeq lists it as uncharacterized. Lineage: Eukaryota; Metazoa; Chordata; Aves; Passeriformes; Pipridae. The record is from RefSeq and is a predicted model, not a curated record. The transcript is spliced from 2 exons.